AGAUUGAACGCUGGCGGCAUGCCUAACACAUGCAAGUCGAACGGGAGUAGCAAUACUCUAGUGGCGGACGGGUGAGGAAUACGUAGGAAUUUGCCCUUAAGUGGGGGAUAACCCGGGGAAACCCGGAUUAAUACCGCAUGACCUCGAAAGAGCAAAGUGGGGGAUCGCAAGACCUCACGCUUUUGGAGAAGCCUACGUCGGAUUAGCUAGUUGGUGAGGUAAUGGCUCACCAAGGCGACGAUCCGUAACUGGUCUGAGAGGAUGAUCAGCCACACCGGAACUGAGACACGGUCCGGACUCCUACGGGAGGCAGCAGUGGGGAAUAUUGGACAAUGGGCGCAAGCCUGAUCCAGCAAUGCCGCGUGUGUGAAGAAGGCCUUCGGUUGUAAAGCACUUUAAGUUAGGGAAGUAAAAGACUACGCUACUAACACCAGUGAGUCUUCGACGGUUACCGAACAGAACUAAAGACACCGGACUAAACUCUAGUCGCCAGCAGACCGC
This 501-nucleotide ribosomal RNA is filed under the name uncultured soil bacterium. Its description in RNAcentral is "bacterial SSU rRNA". It matches the Rfam family "Bacterial small subunit ribosomal RNA", at positions 26 to 518 of the family's 1533-position model. The record is from RNAcentral.